GAGGAAAAGUGGACGACAGAGAAUGAGAUGGCUGGAUGGCAUCACUGACUCAAUGCACUGCCUCUAGAUAAAAUUCAUUCCUAAUGGAGGAAUUCAGUAUUUUGCACAGAAUUCUUUUGGACCUAGAAAGUUCAUCACAGGAAUUCCAUCUAACAAUAGUUUCCUAUGUAAUACUUGGGAAAACUCUCAGUUGGCAUCUGCAUGUCCUCUUUGCUGCUAAGUUACUUCAGUCGUGUCCGACUCUGUGUGACCCCGUAGACGGCAGCCACCAGGCUCCCCCAUCCCUGGGAUUCUCCAGGCAAGAACACUGGAGUGGGUUGCCAUUGCCUUCUCCAAUGC
Bos taurus (domestic cattle) is the source of this 339-nucleotide long non-coding RNA. Lineage: Eukaryota; Metazoa; Chordata; Mammalia; Artiodactyla; Bovidae. The record is from Ensembl.